UACGAAGGGGGCUAGCGUUGCUCGGAAUCACUGGGCGUAAAGGGUGCGUAGGCGGGCCUUUAAGUCAGGGGUGAAAGCCCAGGGCUCAACCUUGGAAUUGCCUUUGAUACUGGCUGUCUUGAGUUCGGGAGAGGUGAGUGGAAUGCCGAGUGUAGAGGUGAAAUUCGUAGAUAUUCGGCGGAACACCAGUGGCGAAGGCGACUCACUGGCCCGAUACUGACGCUGAGGCGCGAAAGCGUGGGGAGCAAACGGG
RNAcentral lists this ribosomal RNA (253 nucleotides) under uncultured bacterium. Its description in RNAcentral is "partial 16S ribosomal RNA". It matches the Rfam family "Bacterial small subunit ribosomal RNA", at positions 524 to 776 of the family's 1533-position model. The record is from RNAcentral.